GUCUAUAGCCAUUCCACUCUGAACAAGCUCGAUCCCAUCUGAUCUCGGAAACUAAGCAGGGUCGGGCCUGGUUAGUACUUGGAUGGGAGACCACCUAGGAAGACCAGGUGCUGUAGGUG
Non-coding RNA from Pteropus alecto (black flying fox), 119 nucleotides. Lineage: Eukaryota; Metazoa; Chordata; Mammalia; Chiroptera; Pteropodidae. The record is from Rfam.